UAAUAGUGUAUAUUAAAGUUGUUGCAGUUAAAAAGCUCGUAGUUGAAUGUUGGUGUCGAACGAGCGGUCAGCUUCGGUUGUACUGCUCUCUCGACUCCUUCCUUCUGUGGACUACGUCGCACUUUACUGUGUGGCGCUAGGACGCAGAUCGUUUACUGUGAAAAAAUUAGAGUGUUCAAAGCAGGCCAAUGCGCUUGAAUACAUUAGCAUGGAAUAAUGGAAUAGGACUUUGGUUCUAUUUUGUUGGUUUCUAGGACCGAAGUAAUGAUUAAUAGGGACAGUUGGGGGCAUUCGUAUUUAGUUGUCAGAGGUGAAAUUCUUGGAUUUACGAAAGACGAACAUCUGCGAAAGCAUUUGCCAAGGAUGUUUNCAUUGA
Molecule: ribosomal RNA, 376 nt
Filed under: uncultured eukaryote
Lineage: Eukaryota
Description: partial 18S ribosomal RNA
Rfam family: Eukaryotic small subunit ribosomal RNA
Source: RNAcentral